GACGAACGCUGGCGGCGUGCUUAACACAUGCAAGUCGAACGGAAAGGCCCUGCUUGCAGGGUACUCGAGUGGCGAACGGGUGAGUAACACGUGGGUGAUCUGCCCUGCACUUCGGGAUAAGCCUGGGAAACUGGGUCUAAUACCGGAUAGGAGCCAUUUUUAGUGUGAUUGUUGGAAAGUUUUUUCGGUGUAGGAUGAGCUCGCGGCCUAUCAGCUUGUUGGUGGGGUAAUGGCCUACCAAGGCGGCGACGGGUAGCCGGCCUGAGAGGGUGGACGGCCACAUUGGGACUGAGAUACGGCCCAGACUCCUACGGGAGGCAGCAGUGGGGAAUAUUGCACAAUGGGCGCAAGCCUGAUGCAGCGACGCCGCGUGGGGGAUGACGGCCUUCGGGUUGUAAACUCCUUUCGCUAGGGACGAAGCUGUUUGUGACGGUACCUAGAGAAGAAGCACCGGCUAACUACGUG
This 465-nucleotide ribosomal RNA is filed under the name uncultured bacterium. RNAcentral's name for it is "partial 16S ribosomal RNA". It matches the Rfam family "Bacterial small subunit ribosomal RNA", at positions 28 to 507 of the family's 1533-position model. The record is from RNAcentral.